RNAcentral lists this ribosomal RNA (460 nucleotides) under uncultured bacterium. RNAcentral's name for it is "partial 16S ribosomal RNA". It matches the Rfam family "Bacterial small subunit ribosomal RNA", at positions 338 to 795 of the family's 1533-position model. The record is from RNAcentral.
CCUACGGGAGGCAGCAGUGGGGAAUAUUGGUCAAUGGGCUUACGCCUGAACCAGCCAAGUCGCGUGAGGGAAGACUGCCCUAUGGGUUGUAAACCUCUUUUGUCAGGGAGCAACGCCGGCUACGUGUAGCCGGACUGAGAGUACCUGAAGAAAAAGCAUCGGCUAACUCCGUGCCAGCAGCCGCGGUAAUACGGAGGAUGCGAGCGUUAUCCGGAUUGAUUGGGUUUAAAGGGUGCGUAGGCGGAAUGCCAAGUCAGCGGUAAAAUCGCGGGGCUCAACCUCGCUCCGCCGUUGAAACUGGCGUUCUUGAGUGGGCGAGAAGUAUGCGGAAUGCGUGGUGUAGCGGUGAAAUGCAUAGAGAUCACGCAGAACUCCGAUUGCGAAGGCAGCAUACCGGCGCCCAACUGACGCUGAAGCACGAAAGCGUGGGUAUCGAACAGGAUUAGAUACCCGAGUAGUC